UGGGGGAUAUUGCACAAUGGGCGAAAGCCUGAUGCAGCGACGCCGCGUGGGGGAUGAAGGCCUUCGGGUUGUACACUUCUUUUGCUCUGAACAAGGCGCACCAUGGGGUGUGUUGAGUGUAGGGGUUGAUUAGCGCCGGCUAACUACGUGCCAGCAGCCGCGGUAAUACGUAGGGCGCGAGCGUUGUCCGGAAUUAUUGGGCGUAAAGGGCUUGUAGGUGGCUGGUUGCGUCUGUCGUGAAAGCUCAUGGCUUAACUGUGGGUUUGCGGUGGGUACGGGCUGGCUUGAGUGCAGUAGGGGAGGGUGGAAUUCCUGGUGUGGCGGUGGAAUGCGCAGAUAUCAGGAGGAAUACCGGUGGCGAAGGCGGGUCUCUGGGCUGUUACUGACACUGAGGAGCGAAAGCAUGGGGAGCGAACAGG
Molecule: ribosomal RNA, 419 nt
Filed under: bacterium
Lineage: Bacteria
Description: partial 16S ribosomal RNA
Rfam family: Bacterial small subunit ribosomal RNA
Source: RNAcentral